RNAcentral lists this ribosomal RNA (777 nucleotides) under uncultured sediment archaeon. RNAcentral describes it as "bacterial SSU rRNA". It matches the Rfam family "Archaeal small subunit ribosomal RNA", at positions 578 to 1353 of the family's 1478-position model. The record is from RNAcentral.
GGAAUACUGCAGAGCUAGGGAGUGGGAGAGGUAGACGGUACUCGGGAGGAAGUGGUAAAAUGCUUUGAUCUCUCGAUGACCACCUGUGGCGAAGGCGGUCUACCAGAACACGUCCGACGGUGAGGGAUGAAAGCUGGGGGAGCAAACCGGAUUAGAUACCCGGGUAGUCCCAGCUGUAAACUAUGCAAACUCAGUGAUGCAUUGGCUUGUGGCCACUGCAGUGUUGCAGGGAAGCCGUUAAGUUUGCCGCCUGGGAAGUACGUACGCAAGUAUGAAACUUAAAGGAAUUGGCGGGGGAGCACCACAAGGGGUGAAGCCUGCGGUUCAAUUGGAGUCAACGCCAGAAAUCUUACCCGGAGAGACAGCAGAAUGAAGGUCAAGCUGAAGACUUUACCAGACAAGCUGAGAGGUGGUGCAUGGCCGUCGCCAGCCCGUGCCGUGAGAUGUCCUGUUAAGUCAGGUAACGAGCGAGAUCCCUGCCUCUAGUUGCCACCAUUACUCUCAGGAGUAGUGGGGCGAAUUAGCGGGACCGCCGCAGUUAAUGCGGAGGAAGGAAGGGGCCACGGCAGGUCAGUAUGCCCCGAAACUCUGGGGCCACACGCGGGCUGCAAUGGUAAUGACAACGGGUCCCGAAUCUGAAAGGAAGAGGUAAUCCUCAAACAUUACCACAGUUAUGACUGAGGGCUGCAACUCGCCCUCACGAAUAUGGAAUCCCUAGUAACUGCGUGUCAUUAUCGCGCGGUGAAUACGUCCCUGCUCCUUGCACACACCGCCCGU